Molecule: ribosomal RNA, 108 nt
Filed under: Pteropus vampyrus (large flying fox)
Lineage: Eukaryota; Metazoa; Chordata; Mammalia; Chiroptera; Pteropodidae
Source: RNAcentral
UGCUAUGGCCUGCUACCCUGAACAAGCCCAAUCUCAGAAGCUAAGCAGGGUCGGGCCUGGUUAGUACUUGGAUAGGAGACCACCUAGGAAGACUAGGUGCUGUAGGUG